GAGUUUGAUCCUGGCUCAGAACGAACGCUGGCGGCGUGCCUAACACAUGCAAGUCGAGCGGACUUACAUCAGUAGUAAUACUGGUGUGAGUUAGCGGCGCACGGGUGAGUAACGYGUGGGUAACCUGCCCUCGAGACUGGGAUAACUUGCCGAAAGGUGGGCUAAUACCGGAUAAGACCACGUCCCUCUGRRRGAGUGGUAAAAGGUGGCCUCUAUUUAUAAGCUACCGUAUCAGGAUGAGUCCGCGUACCWUUAGCUAGUUGGUGGGGUAAUGGCCCACCAAGGCUACGAUGGUUAGCUGGUCUGAGAGGAUGAUCAGCCACACUGGAACUGAGACACGGUCCAGACUCCUACGGGAGGCAGCAGUGGGGAAUUUUGCGCAAUGGGGGWAACCCYGACGCAGCAACSCCGCGUGAGUGAKGAAGGCYUUCGGGUCGUAAAGUUCUGUCAGAGGGGAAGAAAUGGAAACGGAUAAUACCCGUUUUUCUUGWCGGUACCCUCAAAGGAAGCACCGGCUAACUCCGUGCCAGCAGCCGCGGUAAUAC
RNAcentral lists this ribosomal RNA (545 nucleotides) under uncultured Geobacteraceae bacterium. RNAcentral's name for it is "partial 16S ribosomal RNA". It matches the Rfam family "Bacterial small subunit ribosomal RNA", at positions 9 to 526 of the family's 1533-position model. The record is from RNAcentral. Lineage: Bacteria; Pseudomonadati; Thermodesulfobacteriota; Desulfuromonadia; Geobacterales; Geobacteraceae.